This 72-nucleotide transfer RNA is filed under the name Camelus bactrianus (Bactrian camel). It matches the Rfam family "tRNA". Rfam says of the family: Transfer RNA (tRNA) molecules are approximately 80 nucleotides in length. The record is from Rfam by way of RNAcentral. RNAcentral also lists the same sequence under 2 other names. Lineage: Eukaryota; Metazoa; Chordata; Mammalia; Artiodactyla; Camelidae.
GAGGGUAUAGCUCAGUGGUAGAGUGCAUGCUUAGCAUGCACAAGGUCCUGGGUUCAACCCCCAGUACCUCCA